GAGCAUGUGGUGGAAGAAGUGAACAAAUAACAGGGUUGGAGAGAAUACAAGACCGCGAGUGGUCGGGGGACUUCUGAGCAGGCACAGAGCGGUCAACACAGCCACCUGCAGCUCGCAAAUAUACAGGACCCUGGUGUUCCUUCCACUUUUACUGGACUGCUUGUUUUCAGUGGAAGAAAACAAAAGUCUCCCCCCUUCCCCACCGAUACCAGAAACCAAGGAAAGGAAAAUGUUGGCUGACUGACAAAAAUGGGCUUUAUAUAGCAAGACUUGAGAGCCUCCAGGCAACUGACCCAGAAGAGCAGCAGACUAAAGACCUUAUUGUGGGCAUCCUCACUCUGUUGGAUGAUGAUUCAGCUCCUGCAAGUGGCGCGUACAUUGCUGUUAUCAUAGAAGAAGACAUCAUCAUUCAAGAUCUCCCUGACCUGCCAACAGCAUUUGCCUACCUCUUUGGGCUGAUCUAUGCUUUAAACCUUAAGUAUCCAAAGGAACUGAGGUACACAUUUGAGACAAUUCAGAGGGUUUCCUUGGGAAUUGGAAUUGAUCUUUCUGCAAGAGUCAGAUUUCACAAAACCAAAAUCCAUGCAUGAAUCCAGUGUGUUCAGUUGUCAGCUGUUAGCUGACUGACAGUUUUGAAUUUCACAAGUCCCUCUUGCCCGUUGUAUAAUAAUGUUUUAAUGGUUCAUAUCUUUUUAAUGAGAUGGAUCCCUCUCCACCUCUUCCGAUUUGCUUUCCCCCCCCUCUCUCUCCUCUUUUUCUCAAGUUCCCUCUCUCAACGUCUCUUCUCUCACCCUCGUCUACCCUCUUUAUCUCCUCCAGUUCUCAAGCUCUAUCUCUUCUCUACUCCUUUUCUUUAUCUCAAGUUCCCUUUCCACCUCUCUUCUAGACUCUAGUUCUGUGUGCAGUUUUAUUUCAACCCAUGAGCUACCUCUUUUGGUAACUUUUUGUUUUGUCAUGUUGCAUAUUUUAUACUGAUGUCGAAUACUAAUAUCGAUACUAAUAUUAACUCCAUCUUGGUAUGGUCACAACUCCCAGGGAAGUCUUCUUGGAUCUCCCUAAAUGCUACCUCAUUGUAUUUUGCUGUUCGAGAGGUGAUACAUUGUUACAACCCGAGUAAAGUGUUAAGACUGGGAUAGAUACAGGUUCUAAUUUGCUUGGCCUUGUUAAGAAUUUGAUACUUGGUUUGAUAAAAUACAAAAACUAUGAAUGUGGA
Long non-coding RNA from Micropterus dolomieu (smallmouth bass), 1213 nucleotides. RefSeq lists it as uncharacterized. The transcript is spliced from 3 exons. Lineage: Eukaryota; Metazoa; Chordata; Actinopteri; Centrarchiformes; Centrarchidae. The record is from RefSeq and is a predicted model, not a curated record.